RNAcentral lists this unclassified non-coding RNA (225 nucleotides) under fungal sp. Its description in RNAcentral is "partial internal transcribed spacer region". The stretch from base 1 to 46 matches the Rfam family "Eukaryotic small subunit ribosomal RNA", at positions 1786 to 1831 of the family's 1831-position model. The record is from RNAcentral. Lineage: Eukaryota; Fungi.
AAGUCGUAACAAGGUCUCCGUUGGUGAACCAGCGGAGGGAUCAUUACAGAGUUAUCCAACUCCCAAACCCAUGUGAACUUAUCUCUUUGUUGCCUCGGCGCAAGCUACCCGGGACCUCGCGCCCCGGACGGCCCGCCCGAGGACCCUAAACUCUGUUUUUAGUGGAACUUCUGAGUAAAACAAACAAAUAAAUCAAAACUUUCAACAACGGAUCUCUUGGUUCUG